RNAcentral lists this ribosomal RNA (301 nucleotides) under uncultured bacterium. Its description in RNAcentral is "partial 16S ribosomal RNA". It matches the Rfam family "Bacterial small subunit ribosomal RNA", at positions 509 to 807 of the family's 1533-position model. The record is from RNAcentral.
CAGCCGCCGCGGGAAUACGAAGGGGGCUAGCGUUGUUCGGAUUUACUGGGCGUAAAGCGCACGUAGGCGGACUUUUAAGUCAGGGGUGAAAUCCCGGGGCUCAACCCCGGAACUGCCUUUGAUACUGGAAGUCUUGAGUAUGGUAGAGGUGAGUGGAAUUCCGAGUGUAGAGGUGAAAUUCGUAGAUAUUCGGAGGAACACCAGUGGCGAAGGCGGCUCACUGGACCAUUACUGACGCUGAGGUGCGAAAGCGUGGGGAGCAAACAGGAUUAGAUACCCCUGUAGUCCCUGUCUCUUAUAC